RNAcentral lists this ribosomal RNA (253 nucleotides) under uncultured prokaryote. RNAcentral describes it as "partial 16S ribosomal RNA". It matches the Rfam family "Bacterial small subunit ribosomal RNA", at positions 525 to 777 of the family's 1533-position model. The record is from RNAcentral.
ACGUAGGGUGCGAGCGUUAAUCGGAAUUACUGGGCGUAAAGGGCGCGUAGGCGGGAUGGCAAGUCGGUCGUGAAAUCCCUCGGCUCAACCGAGGAACGUCGAUCGAUACUGCUGUUCUUGAGGAUUGCAGAGGAGACUGGAAUUACCGGUGUAGCGGUGAAAUGCGUAGAUAUCGGUAGGAACACCAGUGGCGAAGGCGGUCUCCUGGGGCAUUUUUGACGCUGAGGCGCGAAAGCUGGGGGAGCGAACGGGA